GACGAACGCUGGCGGCGUGCUUAACACAUGCAAGUCGAACGAUGAAGUUCCUUCGGGAAUGGAUUAGUGGCGAACGGGUGAGGAACACGUGAGAAACCUGCCUUUCAUUUUGGGAUAACUCCGGGAAACCGGGGCUAAAACCGAGUACUCCGUCUCGACGGCAUCGCGGAGCCGGGAAACAAUUUUGGUUAAAGAUGGGCGCGCGGCCUAUCAGCUAGUUGGAGAGGGAAGGGCUCACCAAGGCAAAGACGGGUAGCCGGCCUGAGAGGGCGACCGGCCACACUGGGACUGAGACACGGCCCAGACUCCUACGGGAGGCAGCAGUGGGGAAUAUUGGGCAAUGGGCGCAAGCCUGACCCAGCGACGCCGCGUGAGGGAUGAAGGCCUUCGGGUUGUAAACCUCUUUCAGUAGGGAAGAAGCGAAAGUGACGGUACCUAAAGAAGAAGCACCGGCUAACUAUGUGCCAGCCGCCGCGGUAA
This 480-nucleotide ribosomal RNA is filed under the name uncultured bacterium. Its description in RNAcentral is "partial 16S ribosomal RNA". It matches the Rfam family "Bacterial small subunit ribosomal RNA", at positions 28 to 523 of the family's 1533-position model. The record is from RNAcentral.